Molecule: ribosomal RNA, 475 nt
Filed under: uncultured organism
Description: partial 16S ribosomal RNA
Rfam family: Bacterial small subunit ribosomal RNA
Source: RNAcentral
ACUCCUGCGGGAGGCAGCAGUGGGGAAUUUUGGACAAUGGGCGAAAGCCUGAUCCAGCAAUGCCGCGUGAGUGAAGAAGGCCUUCGGGUUGUAAAGCUCUUUUGUCAGGGAAGAAACGGUGAAAGCUAAUAUCUUUUGCUAAUGACGGUACCUGAAGAAUAAGCACCGGCUAACUACGUGCCAGCAGCCGCGGUAAUACGUAGGGUGCAAGCGUUAAUCGGAAUUACUGGGCGUAAAGCGUGCGCAGGCGGUUUUGUAAGUCUGAUGUGAAAUCCCCGGGCUCAACCUGGGGAUUGCAUUGGAGACUGCAAGGCUAGAAUCUGGCAGAGGGGGGUAGAAUUCCACGUGUAGCAGUGAAAUGCGUAGAUAUGUGGAGGAACACCGAUGGCGAAGGCAGCCCCCUGGGUCAAGAUUGACGCUCAUGCACGAAAGCGUGGGGAGCAAACAGGAUUAGAAACCCUGGUAGUCCCAUGAU